This is a regulatory RNA element of 243 nucleotides. It matches the Rfam family "T-box leader". Rfam says of the family: Uncharged tRNA acts as the effector for transcription antitermination of genes in the T-box leader family. The record is from Rfam.
AUUAAACCUGUGAACAAGAGUAGUAGGAAUAAUGACGUGUACUUAGAGAGCCGCCGGUUGGUGAAAAGGUGGUUGCAAGGAAUAUUCUGAAUGGACUUGUGAGGGAAGCCUGAAAUCACCUGAAAGUAGGCGUUUACGGAACCCGACCGUUACAAUGGGAUGUAUAUGAUUGUAUACAGUAGGAGUGGACGUUUAUCGUCAAAUUGGGUGGUACCGCAGAAGUUAAGAGCUUUUGUCCCUUUA